GGGGGGGGGGGGGUGCGGCUCCGGUGGACGACACAGACAGAUGCUGCGUUGCCCAUGACAACUGCUACGCCCUGCCCAGCUGGUUUGGCGGCAUCUUCAUCCUGUACAGCUACAGGUGUGAGGACGGGACCGUCACCUGCACCAGCCGGAGCGCCCUGCGGCGCCGCGUGUGCGAGUGUGACAAGGCGCUUGCCGAGUGUUUCGCCCGUUCUCCGUACGAACCGCAGUACAAAAACUACCAGUACUGCGGCCUGGACAGGGUGGCAGGGACCACACCGGAGACAACCACCGGCCAGAACACCUCUCACGUUGGGCCCACGGACUGACCGUCACUGGGCCAUGAGUGAAUCUAUGUUAAACAACUUACUUUGCAUUGUUGAUGCAUCCAUGAAUAAAGUAAUGU
Long non-coding RNA from Branchiostoma floridae (Florida lancelet), 403 nucleotides. RefSeq lists it as uncharacterized. The transcript has 3 exons. The record is from RefSeq and is a predicted model, not a curated record. Lineage: Eukaryota; Metazoa; Chordata; Leptocardii; Amphioxiformes; Branchiostomatidae.